UCUUUACAAGUAGUUACUGUAAUUUGCAUUGCAUUAUGGGUAUAGUACAUAGUAUUACAGUAACUUACUGUAUGUUUUGAAUUUGCAGUAAUUUACUGUUUACACAUUACAGUAGUGGUACUGUACUUAUAAUAUACAGUAAGAAUUAUAUUUGAUUUCCAACGGUCAUCAUAGCUGCUUCAUCGUGGUUCCCUGUUUCUGUAUUUUUACUCCUUUAGUGGUUAACAUAUUUUUAAGGCAGAAAGAGAGCAUGUACUUUUGUUUUUUUCACAUCCUAGCUAACAUUAACAUGCAGUUUAUCUAGCUACGUCAUCAAGCGUGGCUUCGCUUCCAACCAGCUUUUUCUCUCCAAGUGCAGCUCUGUCUCCGUGCUGUGGGCUCACACUGCUUCAGCUCUUCAAGACAGAUGACCUUUUGUUUUAACUCCCAAGCUUUUUCCCUCCAAGUGGCUGUGCAGUUCUGUCCUGCUGACUGCUAACAUAGCUUCAUCUCUUCAAAGACAAGACAACAGGUAAAAAGACAGCUCUUCAAACAUAUUUGAAGCCACAAAAUAGUCUGGAAAGGUAGAGGAGCAGCUAACCUAAUCUAUAACUUUGAGCUUGCUACAGCUGGUUAGCCUGCUAAAGUACCAUUACAUCUCCAACAUAGUGUAUAAGAGUCUGUAAAUGAGGACAAAGGUGAAAAACAUUAAAGUAGUUUCUGUUAUUUUUUGAGUUUGUUCAGCCACAGUGGCAGGUGGACAAAAAAGUUAAUUUCCAACCCUGGUUACAUAUAAGGACUGUUCACAUGUUUAAACCAUGCUCCUGUGAAUUUAAAGUUAAGUCAGUACUAACAGGUGCAACUAUGUACAUGUGUAAAUUCUGCAGCAUUUGUACUUCAGAAUUUACAGAAUUUUGUAGUCAUGUGAAGAAACAUCAACACACAGCUAAUUAUCGGUUUGCAUGUGGAAUAGAGCAAUGUCCUGCUUCCUUCAGAACAUUUUCUGCAUUCAGGUCCCACAUGCACAGGAGUCACCGCCAUUGCAGAAGUCAGACUGAACACUUGUGGAACUGUUCUUGUGGAAUGUAAUGCUUUAAAAAAUGCAUUUAGCCCCACAAACUGUCAUUCACAUCCGCUGUUUCAGAGUGGUAGCAGGAUGUAGGGGUAAAGUCUAGUCUAGUCUCCGGGAUGAGGUUCUCAAAAACCUGUUGUAAUCUGGGUGAACUGGCCCUUUAAAUAUAAAUUACUACCAGUAAUUCAUAUUUAAGAGAGUUUUCCUUUUAUGUUUUAAAGGUAUCUUCCACCAAGAUGUCUGUUGAACUGGAAAUGACCUUACCCACUACACCAAGGGUAAUUAUGCUUGGAAAUAGCUUGAUGUCUGCAACCCGGUGGAUGGUCAGUAUGGAGGAGAAGGUAUUUUUCCAGCCAGACCAACUACAUGACUUUGCCAGCGUCCUUGCUGUCGUUUUUGGGUCAUAUUAUGUCUUCAAUCUGGAGUAUCAGGAGUCGGCAUCCACCACGCUGGAGAUGAUACAACGGCAAAUUCUUUGUGAGGAUCAAUCCAGAUGUUGGUACCAAAUGCACAGCCAAAGUCGAUACAAGCCGCAAGACGGGAAGUCUUGUCAAGAGGAAAGUAGUCAGUGUGAACUCCCAGAUCACCACCUUCUUCCAACGACUUGCUGAAUUUGAAUGGAGGACUUCCAACUAGUUCAGCUUCCACAAGAUGGAUCCCACUGAUUUUGUUUGACGAAUGGAAUAAAAGUUCUUCUGAUGUAGGAAAUGUGUUCUAUAGUUUUGUUGUUUUACAGCACAUUAUAUUGUAUUGUGACAUUGUUCUUUAUGACAUUGCGAAUAUGUAAAUGGAUUUUAUUUCUACAAAUCUGCUGAAAAUAAAUACCUGUUAUUCACAGUA
Molecule: long non-coding RNA, 1891 nt
Organism: Xiphophorus couchianus (Monterrey platyfish)
Lineage: Eukaryota; Metazoa; Chordata; Actinopteri; Cyprinodontiformes; Poeciliidae
Exons: 5
Source: RefSeq, a predicted model, not a curated record